Molecule: long non-coding RNA, 273 nt
Organism: Magnolia sinica
Lineage: Eukaryota; Viridiplantae; Streptophyta; Magnoliopsida; Magnoliales; Magnoliaceae
Exons: 2
Source: RefSeq, a predicted model, not a curated record
CUACAAUCUUUCAUAGAUCAUUUGGUUUAAUGGUACCUAAUUCCAAAGAGUAGGAAACCAAAUAGUUGUAUUAUCAGCUUCUUUGAUGAGGGGGAAUACUCACAACCAUAUUUGAAACCACCGCAUUUGGACCACCCUAUUUCUACACUUCUUCUUUCAGAAUCUACAAUGGCUUUCGGUCUCAUUCUUUCCGGUGAUCAUGAUGGAAAUUACAAAGGCCCGCUCAUUCUUACUCUGAAGGCAGGGUACAUAUACCAUCGGAGCCUUUUAUCA